UCUAAAUUUUAUCUUCCACGCUGGUCCAACCAGCGUGGAAUGUUUUUUCCGAAUCUUUCUGUUCCACGCUGGUUGAAACAGCGUGGAAUAUUUGGGUUUCUGCGCUCGUGGGCUUGGAGCUGGACUGGUGGACUGGUGCUCGUGGGCUGGGCUAGAGCAGGAUUUGUAAUUAUGUUCCACGCUGGUUGAACCAGCGUGGAACAUUGAAGGUUUGUUUUUUUUUUCGCGACCAGUAAACAGAAACCACCAUCUUCUCCAAUUUCCGCCGCCAUUCUUCUUCUUCUUCUGCCAUUUCCAACUGAAUUCUGCUUGAUUUUGCUGCUUCAACUUCUUUCUACUCAAAAAUUACCUAGCUCUUUUAAUAUCUUUUGUUAUUUUUCAUAUUUAGCCCCUUUUUUAUCAAUUUUAACUCAAAAGUUUAAUUUUUUUCUAAAUCACAAAUUAUGGCUCCAAAAAGAAGAUUGUGUGGUAAAAUCGUUCAAAAGGUGUAUCAAGGAACUAGUAGUACUAUGGAAGAUCAAUCUUUAGACAAUAUGAAAAUGGAAGUUGCCGAAAUUGAUUUUUCAUAUUUUUGCGAAGUUCGAGAUUAUACACCAAGAGAGCUCGCUCCAUGUACGGGAUCGCAUCUUAGUGAUAACCAGUAUUCCGUCGAUGUAAGUGUUUGAUUUGAUUUUUAAUAUAUUUGAUUUUUAAUAUAUUUAAUUUUUAAUUAAUAUUUAAUUAAUUUUUAAUUAAU
Molecule: long non-coding RNA, 736 nt
Filed under: Aquilegia coerulea
Lineage: Eukaryota; Viridiplantae; Streptophyta; Magnoliopsida; Ranunculales; Ranunculaceae
Description: long non-coding RNA (ACOE_LNC000063)
Source: RNAcentral